RNAcentral lists this transfer RNA (72 nucleotides) under Ovis aries (sheep). It matches the Rfam family "tRNA". From Rfam's summary of the family: Transfer RNA (tRNA) molecules are approximately 80 nucleotides in length. Their secondary structure includes four short double-helical elements and three loops (D, anti-codon, and T loops). The record is from Rfam by way of RNAcentral. Lineage: Eukaryota; Metazoa; Chordata; Mammalia; Artiodactyla; Bovidae.
UCCCUGGUGGCUCAGAGGUUAAAGCAUCUGCCUGCAGUGCAGGAGACCAGGGUUCGAUCCCUGGGUUGGGAA